RNAcentral lists this ribosomal RNA (468 nucleotides) under uncultured bacterium. Its description in RNAcentral is "partial 16S ribosomal RNA". It matches the Rfam family "Bacterial small subunit ribosomal RNA", at positions 28 to 507 of the family's 1533-position model. The record is from RNAcentral.
GACGAACGCUGGCGGCGUGCUUAACACAUGCGAGUCGAACGGAAAGGCCCUGCUUUUGUGGGGUGCUCGAGUGGCGAACGGGUGAGUAACACGUGAGUAACCUGCCCUUGACUUUGGGAUAACUUCAGGAAACUGGGGCUAAUACCGGAUAGGAGCUCCUGCUGCAUGGUGGGGGUUGGAAAGUUUCGGCGGUUGGGGAUGGACUCGCGGCUUAUCAGCUUGUUGGUGGGGUAGUGGCUUAUCAAGGCUUUGACGGGUAGCCGGCCUGAGAGGGUGACCGGCCACAUUGGGACUGAGAUACGGCCCAGACUCCUACGGGAGGCAGCAGUGGGGAAUAUUGCACAAUGGGCGGAAGCCUGAUGCAGCAACGCCGCGUGCGGGAUGACGGCCUUCGGGUUGUAAACCGCUUUCGCCUGUGACGAAGCGUGAGUGACGGUAAUGGGUAAAGAAGCACCGGCUAACUACGUG